UAUCUACUUCACUAUCUGUAAAAUUCAAUCCCCAUCUCCUAUAUACAAUUGCUGGUGGAUGAGGGCUACUCUAUUUUUUUGUGAGGUAAUACGAUGUCUACAAAAAAGCUAAUAUUACUGUAUAUUGAAUGACAACCAUACAACUAAUCAUAUCAACACAAUAUUGUAAAUUUUUAUGACACAUGCUAAACACAGAGCACCAAAAGUAUCCUCCACAAGAAGGGGCUAUUAUCAAGCCACCAAUAGAUCCACAUGCU
RNAcentral lists this long non-coding RNA (257 nucleotides) under Elaeis guineensis (African oil palm). Its description in RNAcentral is "long non-coding RNA (EGUI_LNC018621)". The record is from RNAcentral. Lineage: Eukaryota; Viridiplantae; Streptophyta; Magnoliopsida; Arecales; Arecaceae.